RNAcentral lists this transfer RNA (74 nucleotides) under Perkinsus chesapeaki. It matches the Rfam family "tRNA". Rfam says of the family: Transfer RNA (tRNA) molecules are approximately 80 nucleotides in length. The record is from Rfam by way of RNAcentral. Lineage: Eukaryota; Perkinsozoa; Perkinsida; Perkinsidae.
GGUCGUUUUGCUCAGUCGGUUAGAGCAUCGUGCUAAUAACGCGAGGGUCGCAGGUUCGAGCCCUGCAUCGACCA